This 484-nucleotide ribosomal RNA is filed under the name uncultured bacterium. Its description in RNAcentral is "bacterial SSU rRNA". It matches the Rfam family "Bacterial small subunit ribosomal RNA", at positions 28 to 524 of the family's 1533-position model. The record is from RNAcentral.
GACGAAUGCUGGCUGCGUGCUUAACACAUGCAAGUCGAACGGUGAACAGGGGCUUGCCCCUGGGAUCAGUGGCGAACGGGUGAGUAACACGUGGGCAACCUGCCCCUCACUCUGGGGAUAACUCCGGGAAACCGGGGCUAAUACCGGAUACGACCAGGCACGACAUCGGGUCUGGUGGAAAGAACUUCGGUGAGGGAUGGGCCCGCGGCCUAUCAGCUUGUUGGUGAGGUAAUGGCUCACCAAGGCGACGACGGGUAGCCGGCCUGAGAGGGCGACCGGCCACACUGGGACUGAGACACGGCCCAGACUCCUACGGGAGGCAGCAGUGGGGAAUAUUGCGCAAUGGGCGAAAGCCUGACGCAGCGACGCAGCGUGAGGGACGAAGGGCCUUCGGGUUGUAAACCUCUUUCAGCGGGGACGAAGCGAAAGUGACGGUACCCGCAGAAGAAGCACCGGCUAACUACGUGCCAGCAGCCGCGGUAAU